AAUCACAGUUGAAAGACAAUCCUGCUUUUUCAAUGCUGAAUGAUUCAGAUGAUGAUGUGAUUUAUGGGAGUGACUAUGAAGAAAUGCCACUUCAGAAUGGCCAAGCUAUUAGAGCCAAGUAUAAAGAGGAAUCGGACAGUGAUUGAUUUUGCUGUAGACAGACUUGUUCAGGUGGAAUUACACCAAUCAGGUGGGAUUACACCAAUCCUGAAGUUUUCCUAGAUGUACAACUUCCUUGGCUUUCUUAGUCUGCUGACAUCUCAACACCGACUCCCAGGAAGGACAUCCUGCUUCUGUUUCUGUUUACAAAGUUAAAACUGAAAAAAACCCCAAUGCUUGAAAAGGUUGUGGUGAAAACAUAAGAAACCAAAAUUUUUAUGCAUCUUAUAAAAUGCCUGAUAGAAGGAUGUCUAUGGACUAAAAUCUUGAAACCUAUUUCCAUUUAGAAGUAUCACUGAUUAUAUGCUGAUUUUAAAAUUGCUUCCUUGGUUUUCUGGUGGGUUGUUCUGAGGGUUAUGUCCAGCAUAUUGUCAUUCAUCUGUUGCAUUUGUGUUAGCUCCUUUGUGGAUUGCCCACUGCUGUACCAAGUGCCUCAUUUCCCUUUCAAUUUUCUACCUUAGUCUAUUGAGCUGGAAGCAGGGAAUGAAAUGGUUUAUGGUUUUCUCUCUCUCUUUCCUUUUUUUUUUUUUUAAAUGCAAGAAAAACACAAACUUUCCAUUCUUCAUUCAAAGAAGUGAUACAGACUUAAGAAUAUUUUAAAAUUCAUUUAAGUUUACCAGAUUUGUUAGUGUGAGAUACGUGCAAAUAGUCAAGUUCUAGUGAGCCAAAAUAGCCUCAGUGGUGCAAAAUGAUCUGUAUAAUACAUGUUUCAUAACAUGCUUUACCGCCACAACAGAAGCCUUUGGGUUUGUUUUGCCUUUUUUUUUUUUUUAAACAGCCCUUUUAAAUAGAAAUAUUUAGGCAACAACAAACCUCAGAAGGAAGCCAGUACUCUUCUUUCUGGGCUUUUGUGUGCUGGAGGAGAUUGUUACACUUGCAGAGAAUACAGUGUGAAAGUUUCACAGAGAUUAAUUUAAAAUUUCCAAACAUUUCAUUUUUAGAGGCUUUUUCUACAUCAGAUUUUUUUCUUAAGGUGUAUUAAUAGUUAUUCUACAUCCUAGGAACAGUUGUUCAUGUAUUGAACAUGUGUGAGAGUUGGCUUUUGGGCAUGUUCUAGCCAUGG
Molecule: long non-coding RNA, 1222 nt
Filed under: Calidris pugnax (ruff)
Lineage: Eukaryota; Metazoa; Chordata; Aves; Charadriiformes; Scolopacidae
Description: lncRNA (ENSCPUG00000014514.1)
Source: RNAcentral